This 323-nucleotide ribosomal RNA is filed under the name uncultured eukaryote. Its description in RNAcentral is "partial 18S ribosomal RNA". It matches the Rfam family "Eukaryotic small subunit ribosomal RNA", at positions 1470 to 1796 of the family's 1831-position model. The record is from RNAcentral.
CCCCUAGAUGUUCUGGGCCGCACGCGCGCUACACUGAACAGUUCAACAAGUCUUAACCUUGGCCGAUAGGUCUGGGUAAUCUUUGAACGCUGUUCGUGAUUGGGAUAGACCUUUGCAAUUAUGGGUCUUCAACGAGGAAUUCCUAGUAAACGCAAGUCAUCAGCUUGCAUUGAUUACGUCCCUGCCCUUUGUACACACCGCCCGUCGCACCUACCGAUUGAAUGGUCCGGUGAAUUAUUCGGACUGCAACGCGCCCAGUUCCUGGAUGCAGUUGCGGUAAGUUUUGUGAACCUUACCACUUAGAGGAAGGAGAAGUCGUAACA